GGCGGAUGUAGCCAAGUGGAUAAAG
RNAcentral lists this transfer RNA (25 nucleotides) under Passiflora elegans. RNAcentral describes it as "partial tRNA-His". Lineage: Eukaryota; Viridiplantae; Streptophyta; Magnoliopsida; Malpighiales; Passifloraceae. RNAcentral also lists the same sequence under 6 other names. The record is from RNAcentral.